Molecule: ribosomal RNA, 879 nt
Filed under: Escherichia coli
Lineage: Bacteria; Pseudomonadati; Pseudomonadota; Gammaproteobacteria; Enterobacterales; Enterobacteriaceae
Description: partial 23S ribosomal RNA
Rfam family: Bacterial large subunit ribosomal RNA
Source: RNAcentral
CCGGUAAACGGCGGCCGUAACUAUAACGGUCCUAAGGUAGCGAAAUUCCUUGUCGGGUAAGUUCCGACCUGCACGAAUGGCGUAAUGAUGGCCAGGCUGUCUCCACCCGAGACUCAGUGAAAUUGAACUCGCUGUGAAGAUGCAGUGUACCCGCGGCAAGACGGAAAGACCCCGUGAACCUUUACUAUAGCUUGACACUGAACAUUGAGCCUUGAUGUGUAGGAUAGGUGGGAGGCUUUGAAGUGUGGACGCCAGUCUGCAUGGAGCCGACCUUGAAAUACCACCCUUUAAUGUUUGAUGUUCUAACGUUGGCCCCUGAUCGGGGUUGCGGACAGUGUCUGGUGGGUAGUUUGACUGGGGCGGUCUCCUCCUAAAGAGUAACGGAGGAGCACGAAGGUUGGCUAAUCCUGGUCGGACAUCAGGAGGUUAGUGCAAUGGCAUAAGCCAGCUUGACUGCGAGCGUGACGGCGCGAGCAGGUGCGAAAGCAGGUCAUAGUGAUCCGGUGGUUCUGAAUGGAAGGGCCAUCGCUCAACGGAUAAAAGGUACUCCGGGGAUAACAGGCUGAUACCGCCCAAGAGUUCAUAUCGACGGCGGUGUUUGGCACCUCGAUGUCGGCUCAUCACAUCCUGGGGCUGAAGUAGGUCCCAAGGGUAUGGCUGUUCGCCAUUUAAAGUGGUACGCGAGCUGGGUUUAGAACGUCGUGAGACAGUUCGGUCCCUAUCUGCCGUGGGCGCUGGAGAACUGAGGGGGGCUGCUCCUAGUACGAGAGGACCGGAGUGGACGCAUCACUGGUGUUCGGGUUGUCAUGCCAAUGGCACUGCCCGGUAGCUAAAUGCGGAAGAGAUAAGUGCUGAAAGCAUCUAAGCACGAAACUUGCC